AAUUGAGAAGCAAUGGUAGAUUGGGACUUGUUAUAAUGGUUUCGACCGGAUAUCUCGAGAGAUUAGUAAUAGUGAUUUGCAAAAAUAAAACAUUGAAAAAAAUAAAAAUUUAACUGCCUCCUGUGGGAAUUGAACCCACGGUCCCCGCAUUACGAGUGCGAUGCCUUACCACUUGGCCAA
RNAcentral lists this transfer RNA (180 nucleotides) under Monosporozyma servazzii. RNAcentral's name for it is "Kazachstania servazzii partial transfer RNA". Lineage: Eukaryota; Fungi; Ascomycota; Saccharomycetes; Saccharomycetales; Saccharomycetaceae. The record is from RNAcentral.